GAUGAACGCUGGCGGCGUGCCUAAUACAUGCAAGUCGAGCGAACAGACGAGGAGCUUGCUCCUCUGACGUUAGCGGCGGACGGGUGAGUAACACGUGGAUAACCUACCUAUAAGACUGGGAUAACUUCGGGAAACCGGAGCUAAUACCGGAUAAUAUAUUGAACCGCAUGGUUCAAUAGUGAAAGACGGUUUUGCUGUCACUUAUAGAUGGAUCCGCGCCGCAUUAGCUAGUUGGUAAGGUAACGGCUUACCAAGGCAACGAUGCGUAGCCGACCUGAGAGGGUGAUCGGCCACACUGGAACUGAGACACGGUCCAGACUCCUACGGGAGGCAGCAGUAGGGAAUCUUCCGCAAUGGGCGAAAGCCUGACGGAGCAACGCCGCGUGAGUGAGGAAGGUCUUCGGAUCGUAAAACUCUGUUAUUAGGGAAGAACAAAUGUGUAAGUAACUAUGCACGUCUUGACGGUACCUAAUCAGAAAGCCACGGCUAACUACGUGC
RNAcentral lists this ribosomal RNA (498 nucleotides) under uncultured bacterium. Its description in RNAcentral is "partial 16S ribosomal RNA". It matches the Rfam family "Bacterial small subunit ribosomal RNA", at positions 28 to 508 of the family's 1533-position model. The record is from RNAcentral.